GCGGGUUAGCUCAGUUGGUUGGAGCAUGGUGCUAAUAAUGCCAAAGUCACAGGUUCAAUCCCUGCUUACUGCA
Molecule: non-coding RNA, 73 nt
Organism: Pelecanus crispus (Dalmatian pelican)
Lineage: Eukaryota; Metazoa; Chordata; Aves; Pelecaniformes; Pelecanidae
Source: Rfam